Molecule: ribosomal RNA, 253 nt
Filed under: uncultured bacterium
Lineage: Bacteria
Description: partial 16S ribosomal RNA
Rfam family: Bacterial small subunit ribosomal RNA
Source: RNAcentral
GACGGAGGAGGCAAGCGUUAUCCGGAAUUAUUGGGCGUAAAGGGUACGUAGGCGGCUGGUCAAGUCUGGGGUCAAAGGCCACAGCUCAACUGUGGGAAGGCCCUGGAAACUGACCGGCUAGAGUGAGGUAGGGGUUGCGGGAAUUCCCGGUGUAGCGGUGAAAUGCGUAGAGAUCGUGAAGAACACCUGAGGCGGAAGCGCGCAACUGGGCCUUAACUGACGCUGAGGUGCGAAAGCUAGGGGAGCGAAUGGG